Molecule: ribosomal RNA, 484 nt
Filed under: uncultured bacterium
Lineage: Bacteria
Description: partial 16S ribosomal RNA
Rfam family: Bacterial small subunit ribosomal RNA
Source: RNAcentral
GAUUAACGCUAGCGGCAGGCAUAAUACAUGCAAGUUGAACGGCAGCACAGGUAGCAAUACUGGGUGGCGAGUGGCGCACGGGUGCGUAACACGUAUGCAACCUACCCUAUACAGGCGAAUAACCUUUAGAAAUGAGGGCUAAUACGCCGUAGUAUUACAGAUGGGCAUCUAUUUGUAAUUAAAGAUUUAUCGGUAUAGGAUGGGCAUGCGUCCCAUUAGUUAGUUGGUAAGGUAACGGCUUACCAAGACGAUGAUGGGUAGGGGAUCUGAGAGGACUUACCCCCACACUGGUACUGAGACACGGACCAGACUGCUACGGGAGGCAGCAGUAAGGAAUAGUGGGCAAUGGCCGCGAGGCUGACCCAGCCAUGCCGCGUGCAGGAAGACGGCCUUAUGGGUUGUAAACUGCUUUUAUACGGGAAUAAUAGAGUGUACGCGUACAUUUAUGCAAGUAUCGUAUGAAUAAGCAUCGGCUAACUCCGUG